UGUUCUUACACUUCACCUUCUUUGGAAUGGGUGCCUGACCUCACUGGAAACUCAAGAAUUUGCCGAUACGACACUCCACCCUUUUCAAAGAUUCAGCGAGCUCCCAGAACACGCAAGUCGUCCUCAACUGGGCAGUGUGAGUUUCUUCCCAAGGUUGGCCCUGUUGUUGUUCAGGUGCUGCCUGUGAGCAGACACCCACAGAAGACGGAAAAGAUGAAUCCGCAGAUUGCUACACACACAUGAUCAUCUAGGUGAGUGGCAAACACUACAGGGUUGGUUCUACCAAUA
Molecule: long non-coding RNA, 288 nt
Filed under: Felis catus (domestic cat)
Lineage: Eukaryota; Metazoa; Chordata; Mammalia; Carnivora; Felidae
Description: lncRNA (ENSFCAG00000050629.1)
Source: RNAcentral